GACGAACGCUGGCGGCGUGCUUAACACAUGCAAGUCGAGCGGUAAGGCCCUUUCGGGGGUACACGAGCGGCGAACGGGUGAGUAACACGUGGGUGACCUGCCCUCAGCUCUGGGGAUAAGCCUGGGAAACCGGGUCUAAUACUGGAUAUGACUCCAUGACGCAUGUUGUGGGGUGGAAAGCCUUGUGCGGCUGAGGAUGGGCCCGCGGCCUAUCAGCUUGUUGGUGGGGUGANGGCCCUACCAAGGCGACGACGGGUAGCCGGCCUGAGAGGCGACCGGCC
This 281-nucleotide ribosomal RNA is filed under the name uncultured bacterium. RNAcentral's name for it is "partial 16S ribosomal RNA". It matches the Rfam family "Bacterial small subunit ribosomal RNA", at positions 28 to 309 of the family's 1533-position model. The record is from RNAcentral.